This is a non-coding RNA of Camelus ferus (Wild Bactrian camel), 74 nucleotides long. Lineage: Eukaryota; Metazoa; Chordata; Mammalia; Artiodactyla; Camelidae. The record is from Rfam.
GGAAGGGUACAGCUCAGUAGUAAAGUAUGUGCUUAGCACGCACGAGGUCCUGAGUUCAAUCCCCAGUACCUCCA